CUUGUCCACAGGGUUGGUAUUGUUUAGCUGGUUCUGGAGCUCCAUCUGGCCGCUGCAGCUCUGGUCACUACUGUCCAGAAGGGACUGCAUAUAGCACUCAGUUUGCUUGCCCUGUGGGAACCUACAGCAUCCGAAUGGGGAAUAGAAACAAAAAAGACUGUUUCAUCUGUCCUGAAGGCUUCUUCUGUGAGCAAGGCACCUCAAAACCUUCUCCGUGCCCACCGUCCACAUACCAUCUCCGGAAAGGAGGUCAAAGACUGGAGGAAUGCUCUCCAUGCCCUGCUGGCUACUUCUGUCCUCACUCAGCUACUGUCAACCCAAGAGUGUGUGGAGCUGGCAGCUAUUCUGACGAGGGCUCCGUGGAGUGUGCUCCGUGCUUGCAGGGCCACUACUGCAGUAAUGAAACCACGAGUGAGGAAGCAAUGCUGAGUGUUAUGGUAUGCCCUCCAGGUUUUUUAUGCUCUCAGGGUUUGGCCCGAGACCCUCAGCGCUCUGCCACUCUCUGUCCUCUGGGGUUUUACUGUCCAGGUGGAAGCAUUGUGAGUUAGAGCCACACGUACAGCCUACAGUCUGCUGCUCACAUGUCUGAAUCACUAUUUUAAACUGCCUGUUUGUGUGUGUGUGUAUUUAUACUUUCAGA
Molecule: long non-coding RNA, 640 nt
Filed under: Gouania willdenowi (blunt-snouted clingfish)
Lineage: Eukaryota; Metazoa; Chordata; Actinopteri; Blenniiformes; Gobiesocidae
Description: lncRNA (ENSGWIG00000006149.1)
Source: RNAcentral